Molecule: ribosomal RNA, 501 nt
Filed under: uncultured bacterium
Lineage: Bacteria
Description: partial 16S ribosomal RNA
Rfam family: Bacterial small subunit ribosomal RNA
Source: RNAcentral
AUUGAACGCUGGCGGCACGCCUAACACAUGCAAGUCGAGCGGCAGCGCGAUAUGUAGCAAUACAUAUUGGCGGCGAGCGGCGGACGGGUGAGGAACACGUAGGAACCUACCCUCGAGUGGGGGAUAACCAAGGGAAACUUUGGCUAAUACCGCAUGAUUUCGAGAGAGCAAAGCUGCCGCAAGGUGGCGCUCGAGGAGGGGCCUGCGUCCGAUUAGCUAGUUGGUGAGGUAAGAGCUCACCAAGGCGAUGAUCGGUAACUGGUCUGAGAGGACGACCAGUCACACUGGGACUGAGACAAGGCCCAGACUCCUACGGGAGGCAGCAGUGGGGAAUAUUGGACAAUGGGGGCAACCCUGAUCCAGCGAUGCCGCGUGAGUGAAGAAGGCCUUCGGGUCGUAAAGCUCUUUAGGUUGGGAAGAAGAGUGAUGGAGGAAAUGCUAUCACUUUGACGGUACCGGCAGAAUAAGCACCGGCAAACUCUGUGCCAGCAGCCGCCGUAA